UUCAGGUAACUAUGGUGGUGGUGGGAACUAUAAUGACUUUGGAAAUUAUAGUGGACAGCAACAAUCUAAUUAUGGACCCAUGAAGGGGGGCAGUUUUGGUGGAAGAAGCUCAGGCAGUCCCUAUGGUGGUGGCUAUGGAUCUGGAGGUGGAAGUGGUGGAUAUGGUAGCAGAAGGUUUUAAAAUAAAACAAACGGCUACAGUUCUUAGCAGGAGAGAGAGCGAGGAGUUGUCAGGAAAGCUGCAGGUUACUUUGAGACAGUCGUCCUAAAUGCAUUAGAGGAACUGUAAAAAUCUGCCACAGAAGGAACGAUGAUCCAUAGUCAGAAAAGUUACUGCAGCUUAAACAGGAAGCCCUUCUUGUUCAGGACUGUCAUAGCCACAGUUUGCAAAAGUGCAGCUAUCGAUUAAUGCAAUGUAGUGUCAAUUAGAUGUACAUUCCUGAGGUCUUUUAUCUGUUGUAGCUUUGUCUUUUUCUUUUUCUUUUCAUUACAUCAGGUAUAUUGCCCUGUAAAUUGUGGUAGUGGUACCAGGAAUAAAAAAUUAAGGAAUUUUUAACUUUUCAAUAUUUGUGUAGUUCAGUUUUUCUACAUUUUAGUACAGAAACUUUAACAAAAUGCAGUUUUGAAGGUGUUUCCUUGUGAGUUAACAAGUAAAGAAGAUCAUUGUUAAUCACUAUUUUGUAUGAAUUUUGCUAAAGUUAACUGUAAAGAAACACCUACUGACUUGCAGUUUAAGGGGAAUCUAUUCUCCCAUUUCCAAAACCAUGAUGACUGGGCGCUGACAUGUGGAGAGAAUAGAUACUUGUAUGUUUGCAAAUGUGUGUUUUAGAUAAUUAGGAUUGGGUAAUAAAAAAUAGCAUAUUUGUGAAUUUAAUAGCAUUAAGAUUACAUUCAAAUGAAAAAGAUCUCAAAAUUUGCUGUUUGGUUUU
Molecule: long non-coding RNA, 929 nt
Filed under: Rattus norvegicus (Norway rat)
Lineage: Eukaryota; Metazoa; Chordata; Mammalia; Rodentia; Muridae
Description: long non-coding RNA NONRATT018276
Source: RNAcentral